Molecule: non-coding RNA, 19 nt
Filed under: Oryzias latipes (Japanese medaka)
Lineage: Eukaryota; Metazoa; Chordata; Actinopteri; Beloniformes; Adrianichthyidae
Also listed under: 1 other name
Gene: ola-miR-222
Source: miRBase by way of RNAcentral
AGCUACAUCUGGCUACUGG